This is an unclassified non-coding RNA of Otolemur garnettii (small-eared galago), 113 nucleotides long. It matches the Rfam family "Y RNA". From Rfam's summary of the family: Y RNAs are components of the Ro ribonucleoprotein particle (Ro RNP), in association with Ro60 and La proteins. The Y RNAs and Ro60 and La proteins are well conserved, but the function of the Ro RNP is not known. Lineage: Eukaryota; Metazoa; Chordata; Mammalia; Primates; Galagidae. The record is from Ensembl.
GGCUGGUCUGAAGGUAGUAAGUUAUCUCAAUUGAUUGUUCACAGUCAGUUAUAGAUUGAACUCUUCAUUCUACUCGUCCCCCCCUUUUCACUACUGCACUUGACUAGUCUUUA